RNAcentral lists this transfer RNA (73 nucleotides) under Brassica napus (rape). Its description in RNAcentral is "tRNA-Tyr (GTA) (tRNA-Tyr-GTA-9-1)". It matches the Rfam family "tRNA". Rfam says of the family: Transfer RNA (tRNA) molecules are approximately 80 nucleotides in length. Their secondary structure includes four short double-helical elements and three loops (D, anti-codon, and T loops). Further hydrogen bonds mediate the characteristic L-shaped molecular structure. tRNAs have two regions of fundamental functional importance: the anti-codon, which is responsible for specific mRNA codon recognition, and the 3' end, to which the tRNAs corresponding amino acid is attached (by aminoacyl-tRNA synthetases). tRNAs cope with the degeneracy of the genetic code in two manners: having more than one tRNA (with a specific anti-codon) for a particular amino acid; and 'wobble' base-pairing, i.e. permitting non-standard base-pairing at the 3rd anti-codon position. The record is from RNAcentral. Lineage: Eukaryota; Viridiplantae; Streptophyta; Magnoliopsida; Brassicales; Brassicaceae.
CCGACCUUAGCUCAGUUGGUAGAGCGGAAGACUGUAGAUCUUUAGGUCGCUGGUUCGAUUCCGGCAGGUUGGA